Molecule: small nuclear RNA, 345 nt
Filed under: Echinops telfairi (small Madagascar hedgehog)
Lineage: Eukaryota; Metazoa; Chordata; Mammalia; Afrosoricida; Tenrecidae
Description: 7SK RNA (ENSETEG00000024435.1)
Rfam family: 7SK RNA
About the family: 7SK was discovered as an abundant small nuclear RNA in the mid-70s but a possible function has only recently been suggested. Two independent studies have found that 7SK RNA binds the CDK9/cyclin T complex (known as elongation factor P-TEFb). P-TEFb activates transcription by phosphorylating the C-terminal domain of RNA polymerase II.
Source: RNAcentral
GACUAAGACAGAGGUCUGGCUAAGACAUCUAUCACCCCAGUGGUCGCCAGGGUUGAUUCGGCUCAUCUGGCUGGUGAGGCCAUUGUCCCUUUCCUCCCUCACUGCUCCUGUGCUUCCCUCCAGAAGUUGUGCGCUCCAUUGAAGAGGAAGACCUUCGCCUAGGGAAGGAGGACCAUCCUUCAGUCAAGAGUUUACGAGGAGCUGCCCUUCCCCUGCUAGAACCUCCAAACAAGCUCUCAAGACAUGGGGUUUUUCACAGGCCUCAUCUCUGUGUGCAUGUUGGAUACUGAGUAAGGAAGACAGAAGACGAAUGUAUACAUUGGUAUUUGUCAUAAUGAAGAUUUU